UGGGCAACCUGCCCUCAGCUCUGGGAUAACUCCGGGAAACCGGGGCUAAUACCGGAUACGACCUUCCCUGGCAUCGGGGUUGGUGGAAAGUUCUUCGGCUGAGGAUGGGCCCGCGGCCUAUCAGCUUGUUGGUGGGGUGACGGCCUACCAAGGCGACGACGGGUAGCCGGCCUGAGAGGGCGACCGGCCACACUGGGACUGAGACACGGCCCAGACUCCUACGGGAGGCA
RNAcentral lists this ribosomal RNA (230 nucleotides) under uncultured bacterium. Its description in RNAcentral is "partial 16S ribosomal RNA". It matches the Rfam family "Bacterial small subunit ribosomal RNA", at positions 118 to 350 of the family's 1533-position model. The record is from RNAcentral.